Long non-coding RNA from Daphnia pulex (common water flea), 168 nucleotides. RefSeq lists it as uncharacterized. The record is from RefSeq and is a predicted model, not a curated record. The transcript is spliced from 3 exons. NCBI's taxonomy places the organism in Eukaryota, Metazoa, Arthropoda, Branchiopoda, Diplostraca, Daphniidae.
AACGAAUAAUUGUUUUUCACAUUCUCUCUGAACUUCCCCUUGACAACAUGCCCAACUCUGAUUUGCUUGUUGCUUCUCCCCCCGUUUCUUUGUCUCCUCAAGUGGUUGUCCGUGAUGGAAUACCCAAUUCUGAUUUGCCUGUUGUUUCUCCCCCCGUCUCUUUGUCUC